RNAcentral lists this ribosomal RNA (837 nucleotides) under uncultured bacterium. RNAcentral describes it as "bacterial SSU rRNA". It matches the Rfam family "Bacterial small subunit ribosomal RNA", at positions 638 to 1474 of the family's 1533-position model. The record is from RNAcentral.
UGACUNGAGUGCAGAAGGGGAGAGUGGAAUUCCAUGUGUAGCGGUGAAAUGCGUAGAUAUAUGGAGGAACACCAGUGGCGAAAGCGGCUCUCUGGUCUGUCACUGACGCUGAGGCUNGAAAGCGUGGGUAGCGAACAGGAUUAGAUACCCUGGUAGUNCACGCCGUAAACGAUGAGUGCUAGGUGUUAGGCCCUUUCCGGGGCUUAGUGCCGGAGCUAACGCAAUAAGCACUCCGCCUGGGGAGUACGACCGCAAGGUUGAAACUCAAAGGAAUUGACGGGGGCCCGCACAAGCGGUGGAGCAUGUGGUUUAAUUCGAAGCAACGCGAAGAACCUUACCAGGUCUUGACAUCCCGAUGCUAUUCUUAGAGAUAGGAAGUUACUUCGGUACAUCGGAGACAGGUGGUGCAUGGUUGUCGUCAGCUCGUGUCGUGAGAUGUUGGGUUAAGUCCCGCAACGAGCGCAACCCUUAUUGUUAGUUGCCAUCAUUAAGUUGGGCACUCUAGCGAGACUGCCGGUAAUAAACCGGAGGAAGGUGGGGAUGACGUCAAAUCAUCAUGCCCCUUAUGACCUGGGCUACACACGUGCUACAAUGGUCGGUACAACGAGUUGCGAGCCGGUGACGGCAAGCUAAUCUCUGAAAGCCGAUCUCAGUUCGGAUUGGAGGCUGCAACUCGCCUCCAUGAAGUCGGAAUCGCUAGUAAUCGCGGAUCAGCACGCCGCGGUGAAUACGUUCCCGGGCCUUAUACACACCGCCCGUCACACCACGAGAGUUUGUAACACCCGAAGUCGGUGAGGUAACCUUUUAGGGGCCAGCCGCCUAAGGUGGGANGGAUGA